RNAcentral lists this ribosomal RNA (425 nucleotides) under uncultured rumen bacterium. RNAcentral describes it as "bacterial SSU rRNA". It matches the Rfam family "Bacterial small subunit ribosomal RNA", at positions 354 to 776 of the family's 1533-position model. The record is from RNAcentral.
GUGGGGAAUAUUGGUCAAUGGGCGAGAGCCUGAACCAGCCAAGUAGCGUGAAGGAAGACUGCCCUACGGGUUGUAAACUUCUUUUGUACGGGAAUAAAGUUGGCCACGUGUGGCUUUUUGCAUGUACCGUACGAAUAAGGACCGGCUAAUUCCGUGCCAGCAGCCGCGGUAAUACGGAAGGUCCGAGCGUUAUCCGGAUUUAUUGGGUUUAAAGGGAGCGCAGGCGGAAUGUUAAGUCAGCUGUGAAAUCCCGUCGCUCAACGGCGGAACUGCAGUUGAUACUGGCUUUCUUGAGUGCACAUAAGGAUGGUGGAAUUCGUGGUGUAGCGGUGAAAUGCUUAGAUAUCACGAAGAACUCCGAUUGCGAAGGCAGCCAUCUGGGGUGCAACUGACGCUGAGGCUCGAAAGUGCGGGUAUCAAACAGG